UUGCAUUUUAUAAUUUGACUAUCCAAGUUCUUUCUUGUUGAAAUCCUUGGAAUCUUGCUUCUCAUUCUCCUUUUACAGUUCUUCCUCAACCUUUUUCUUCUGGGCUCGUAAGAGCGAUUCAUAAUAAUCAGCAUGAGCCUUCAUACAUUUUUGUAGAGUUGAGGUUACGUACGUGUUACAGGCCUAAUAGUGAAGUUAAGCUCAUGGAUCAACAAAUAGAUAAGUUCUGGGCUGGUUGACAGAUGAGUUGCUUGAGAGUUUGAAGUAUCAAUAUUUUGUUUGUUUACUUUCAGUUUCACUACUACAAUUUAUUUCUUUUUAUUUCUUAUUUUUAAUAUUUCCUAAAUUCUCUUGAUAGCAAGUUAAUUUUAUAUGUUUAAUGUACCUAAUCUUGGUCAAUUUUUGAAUAGAAUGCUACUAAGCUUGUGAUUUCUUACUUAAAUUUUAUCAGGGACGUAAUUGGAGUGCCGAAGUCUAAAAACAAACAAAAAUGGGGCUAAAUUGGAACAAAAAGUAAGUUGGGGGUUGAAUUCAACUAUUUUUGGGCUAAUAAAAAUAUCAGACUUUUGACUUUGACAAAUUCUAUAUUUAGAAAAAUCUGAUUUAAUGGAUGGUUGUUAAGCAUGAUUCUAGGCAUAAAUCAUGUGAAAUUGGUUCUUUGAGGGGUGUAUAUAAAGGUUUGUAAUUGUGGCAUUAGAACACACUAUAAUUUAAAAAGCAAUUAGCAUAUUCAUGCAUCAGUAGCAUUUGAGCAUUCUGCCAUUUCUUUCUCCUUUUUUAAAUUUUUGUCCAAUUGCCCUUUUGGUCCCCUCCCUUCUUCACCGAUUAUCUUUCAUUAAAAUCCACCCUUAUAAUCCAAUCAAGUAUGAUUAAUUUCAUGCUCAACUAAUCUCCCUUUUAGGCUGGUUAUCAUUCCAGUCAAGAAUCGUAAGAAAUGAGUCCAUGCUAAAACCUUACAACACGGUAUUCAUUAUCUCUCCAGAAUAUGAGAUAGUUACAAUUAUAUCUUAAAGUUAAUUCAAUUUCAACUCAAAAAGCGUGCAUUGGGUUUGAGUUGUUUGGCUUACAGUUAGGAAAACGAGUCAAUCCUCUACCGCAUCCAAGUGGAAAAAGGCCAGUUCGGUACCGUCAAGGGAAACAGUGAUCGGAUUUAAAUGACCCACGUAGUUAAGGCCGUUAAUUCGAGUUGGGCACUUCUAGAUUGCAAGACUACCAAGAUCUUAAAUUGCGGACACGUGUUACGCGGAUAGAUAGUCGAUAAGGGUUGGUUUGUAGGGCGUCUCGGAAUCAACUACACAAGGAAGAGUUGGCGGUUAAGGCAUCCUUGAUCGUUAUAAUCAACUUACCGUUUGGAUAAGAAUUCACUUUCAAGGAUCGAUUCAAGUCUGGAAUAUACCGAGUCUAAGGCUAAAAAAAUUGCAUAUUUGAUUAUCUUAUUAAAUUUCGGUUAUUUAAUUUUAUUUUUUAUAAUUCAACUAUUAUUUUAUUCUAUUUAU
RNAcentral lists this long non-coding RNA (1496 nucleotides) under Gossypium barbadense (sea-island cotton). RNAcentral's name for it is "long non-coding RNA (GBAR_LNC022600)". The record is from RNAcentral. Lineage: Eukaryota; Viridiplantae; Streptophyta; Magnoliopsida; Malvales; Malvaceae.